RNAcentral lists this ribosomal RNA (480 nucleotides) under Solibacillus sp. SC22. Its description in RNAcentral is "bacterial SSU rRNA". It matches the Rfam family "Bacterial small subunit ribosomal RNA", at positions 29 to 486 of the family's 1533-position model. The record is from RNAcentral. Lineage: Bacteria; Bacillati; Bacillota; Bacilli; Caryophanales; Caryophanaceae.
ACGAACGCYGGCGGCGUGCCUAAUACAUGCAAGUCGAGCGGAAAUUUUAUUGGUGCUUGCACCUUUAAWWUUUUAGCGGCGGACGGGUGAGUAACACGUGGGUAACCUACCUUAUAGAUUGGGAUAACUCCGGGAAACCGGGGCUAAUACCGAAUAAUACUUUUUAACACAUGUUUGAAAGUUGAAAGACGGUUUCGGCUGUCACUAUAAGAUGGACCCGCGGCGCAUUAGCUAGUUGGUGAGGUAACGGCUCACCAAGGCAACGAUGCGUAGCCGACCUGAGAGGGUGAUCGGCCACACUGGGACUGAGACACGGCCCAGACUCCUACGGGAGGCAGCAGUAGGGAAUCUUCCACAAUGGACGAAAGUCUGAUGGAGCAACGCCGCGUGAGUGAAGAAGGAUUUCGGUUCGUAAAACUCUGUUGCAAGGGAAGAACAAGUAGCGUAGUAACUGGCGCUACCUUGACGGUACCUUGUUAG